Molecule: ribosomal RNA, 552 nt
Filed under: Bacillus sp. CH323a_11C
Lineage: Bacteria; Bacillati; Bacillota; Bacilli; Caryophanales; Bacillaceae
Description: bacterial SSU rRNA
Rfam family: Bacterial small subunit ribosomal RNA
Source: RNAcentral
GCGGCGGACGGGUGAGUAACACGUGGGUAACCUGCCCAUAAGACUGGGAUAACUCCGGGAAACCGGGGCUAAUACCGGAUAACAUUUUGAACUGCAUGGUUCGAAAUUGAAAGGCGGCUUCGGCUGUCACUUAUGGAUGGACCCGCGUCGCAUUAGCUAGUUGGUGAGGUAACGGCUCACCAAGGCAACGAUGCGUAGCCGACCUGAGAGGGUGAUCGGCCACACUGGGACUGAGACACGGCCCAGACUCCUACGGGAGGCAGCAGUAGGGAAUCUUCCGCAAUGGACGAAAGUCUGACGGAGCAACGCCGCGUGAGUGAUGAAGGCUUUCGGGUCGUAAAACUCUGUUGUUAGGGAAGAACAAGUGCUAGUUGAAUAAGCUGGCACCUUGACGGUACCUAACCAGAAAGCCACGGCUAACUACGUGCCAGCAGCCGCGGUAAUACGUAGGUGGCAAGCGUUAUCCGGAAUUAUUGGGCGUAAAGCGCGCGCAGGUGGUUUCUUAAGUCUGAUGUGAAAGCCCACGGCUCAACCGUGGAGGGUCAUUGGAAA